Long non-coding RNA from Herpailurus yagouaroundi (jaguarundi), 528 nucleotides. RefSeq lists it as uncharacterized. The record is from RefSeq and is a predicted model, not a curated record. Lineage: Eukaryota; Metazoa; Chordata; Mammalia; Carnivora; Felidae. The transcript has 2 exons.
UAAGAAAGUGGUUUAGAGUAGAGAGAAGCAGUGCCUCUUAUGGCAGAAGUAGUUUGGGAUAUGGCCAUUCCCCAGCAAGGAUGCAGCUGGGCAUAGACCCAGGGCCUGGCUUUGGUGGAGGAGAGGACCUGGAGUUGGGCCUACAAAACAUCCAGUCAGCUGCAGAAGAGGAGAACGAGCAAAUCUUCACAAGAACUCCGCAACCCUGCAACCCCGCUGACUGCUGUGUGAAAGAUCGGCCAAGAGCUCAGAGUUUAGGGGAAUGAAAAGGGCUCGCAGCCCCUCGCCCUGAAGAACACGAGCCCGUGGAGGACCGAGGAAAUGAAAAUAAAAUGCCCGGUUUGAAUAGGGAGCCAACGAGACAAAUCUUGUCCGUGGUUCGGUGUUAAAUGAUGCCCUUAAUCCCCAGCUCUUGGGACCUGGCAUCUCCGUCGAACUUUGAUCAGCCUUGGCUCAGUCUUCACGUUCCCUGCACUGAUGUUUGGGGCUGUUUGCAGGCACAGUAAAUAUUUGUCCUGUCAAAUGGCA